This 253-nucleotide ribosomal RNA is filed under the name uncultured bacterium. RNAcentral's name for it is "partial 16S ribosomal RNA". It matches the Rfam family "Bacterial small subunit ribosomal RNA", at positions 524 to 776 of the family's 1533-position model. The record is from RNAcentral.
UACGAAGGGGGCUAGCGUUGUUCGGAAUUACUGGGCGUAAAGCGCGCGCAGGCGGCUAUCCAAGUCAGUGGUGAAAGCCCGGAGCUCAACUCCGGAACUGCCAUUGAAACUGUUUAGCUUGAGGAUGAGAGAGGUGAGUGGAAUUCCACGUGUAGCAGUGAAAUGCGUAGAGAUGUGGAGGAACACCGAUGGCGAAGGCAGCCCCCUGGGCUAACACUGACGCUCAUGCACGAAAGCGUGGGGAGCAAACAGG